GGAGUCGGCCGAGCAGUCGCCGGGAGAACAUCCCGGAGGAAAGUCCGGGCUCCAUCGGGCAGGGUGCCAGGUAACGCCUGGGGGUGCGCGAGCCCACGGAAAGUGCCACAGAAAAUAUACCGCCGGCCGUCAGGCCGGUAAGGGUGAAAUGGUGCGGUAAGAGCGCACCGCGCAGGUGGCAACACCUGUGGCAGGGUAAACCCCACCCGGAGCAAGACCGAAUAGGGGAGCGUUGAGCGUGCCCGCGCGAGCUCCCGGGUUGGUCGCUAGAGACGCGCGGCGACGCGGGUCCGAGAUGAAUGGCUGCUCUCGACAGAACCCGGCUUACAGGCCGGCUCCUUAC
RNAcentral lists this RNase P RNA (343 nucleotides) under Rhodospirillaceae bacterium. RNAcentral describes it as "RNase P RNA component class A". It matches the Rfam family "Bacterial RNase P class A". Rfam says of the family: Ribonuclease P (RNase P) is a ubiquitous endoribonuclease, found in archaea, bacteria and eukarya as well as chloroplasts and mitochondria. Lineage: Bacteria; Pseudomonadati; Pseudomonadota; Alphaproteobacteria; Rhodospirillales; Rhodospirillaceae. The record is from RNAcentral.